AGAAGAAGAAGAAGAAGAGAAAGAGAUGCAAACGUAUCUGGCUGGUUUCCUUCUUAGUUGUAUUUUAUUGGUUGGCAGCUGGCAUGUGCUAAGUUAAGAUUAAUGGGUUUCUUUUUAUUGCUUGGGUUUCUUUUUAUGGGUUGGUAGCUGUCACGUUAAGAGUAAUGGGUUGUUAUUCUUAAUGGGCUAAUGGUUUAAAUAAAUGGGCUGG
Molecule: unclassified non-coding RNA, 211 nt
Filed under: Hevea brasiliensis (rubber tree)
Lineage: Eukaryota; Viridiplantae; Streptophyta; Magnoliopsida; Malpighiales; Euphorbiaceae
Source: RNAcentral